Molecule: long non-coding RNA, 526 nt
Organism: Acyrthosiphon pisum (pea aphid)
Lineage: Eukaryota; Metazoa; Arthropoda; Insecta; Hemiptera; Aphididae
Exons: 2
Source: RefSeq, a predicted model, not a curated record
GCGUGGCGGCAUCGAGGUUCACAUACCCGCCCCCACCGCCCCGUCGUUCCGGUCCCAGUGCUGCGGGAGUUCCCGCCGCGGCCGGAAGUGCAUAACGCUGCACAAGCACGCGUUACCAGACAACGGUGACGUGCAAUUCAUAAUUUUUCUCGUCAUAUUCACAAUCAUCACAAUCAUCAUACAUAUUCAUAUCAUAUCAUCGUGAGUUUGCAUUUUAUAACACUGUACAUCAUAAUAUCAUUUAAAAUAUCUACCUGUCUUCUAAACUAUUAAUAUUGUGUAUAUAACUAAAAUAUAAUAACCAUGUAAAAUAAAAAUGAUUGUGUCCAUUUUGUGUUGUAAAUUUUUUUUUAUAUGUAAAAUAUUAUGUAAUGUGUAACACGCCAUGUAUAACCUAUAAUCAUAUCAUAUUUAAAUAAUGUCUACCUAUGUACCUGCUUUCAUUUUGUAAGUUUCUAUACAUCGUUGUUAAAUAUUUACUGUACCUACCCAUGUUUAUUGCAAAAUUAUAAAAUGUAUAAUAUUA